ACAUAUUAUAGUAAAAAUGGAAAAAGUUAAAGAGAGGAUUCUAAAGGCAGCAAAAGAAAAGAAAGGCAUUAAUUAUAAGGGAAGCCCCAUAAGGCUAUCCGCUGAUAUAUUUGUGAUUUGGUUGAAUGUAGCUCAUGUGACUUGGUUAUAUAGGAACGCUCUUGUGCUGCGCCAUCUCCCAGAGGAAGGCUGAGUCCCCUGGUCUCAGAGCUCUCAGGUGUCCUGCACAUGUCACCUCCCAGCUACUCUCCCUGCCCUACCCCCGCCCCCAUGAAUUCUGCUCCAAAGAUUUUCGAGUCUAUUUGCAUGGAGCUGUUUGUGCUACAUAGCACUGCAUAAAAAUAGGUCAAUCUGCCUUCUGCAUCCCCCCCCCCCAGGCUGUGGCCUCCCCAUUACUUUUUUUUUUUUUUCAGGUCGUGGAUUGGAACUUGCCAAAUUGUUCUUGGAAGAGAGUCAGAGGCAGAGGGCAAGCAGCGGGGAGAGAGGGGUGGGCAAGCGGGAUGCCAGGCUGAAGCACACCCCAAGGUCACCAGGUUCCCUCUCCCCUUCUUUUGGGGAGGAGGGCUCUUGCCCUCCCCAGGAUCACAGGCUGGCAGGGGUGGCUGGCCGAACUGGGGUGGGAGAGCUGUCCAGCUCGGUCUGGUUCACCCCACCUUGUCCCCAGCUGCUCUGCCGCACCUGGGCACAGAAAAAGAGCGUGAGCCAGAGAUGCAGGAGGUAGGUCAGGUGUGUUUGCCCGAGCCAGGGGAGGAGCCUUGGAAAUACCUGUCUCCAGGCCACAGAGAGGAAGAACGGCCACCACUCACCAUUAGUGUGAUUCAUUGCUGUCACAGUUGAACUCCAGGGGGCCAGAAUCAGCCAGCUCAAGCCAAACGGCUGUUGAUUUUAUGGAGCCAAUCCCAGCCCCGUGCCUGGUUGCACAAUAGUGGGGCACCUGCCAAGGCAGUGAUGGCAGAGCAGGUGAUGCUGCGAUCAGGUGUCCUGAAGGACUUGGGGUGGUAGGGGCUACUGGGGGGGUGGGCCCCUUGCACCGGCUAGAAGGGUGGGUUCUAUCUCCCAGCUAGGCUUGGAGGUGGUCCAGUGGGGCAGAAAGAAGGCUUGUGUUUCCUCUAGUUGUGUGAGCUGGGGCAGACCUCAGCAUCUUUGUCAGUUUCCCUCUCUGCAAAGUAAAGUUCUUCUUAGGCAUCUGAGGAUGGGUGGGCUCCUGUAUAACCCUGGAAGCCUUGGUUUUCUCAACUAUACAACAGGUCCAUCAAUAUCUUUCCUGUACCUUACAAGGUCAAAGUGAUGCAAUGGACAUAAAGACAUUGAAAAAUUUACAUGUAGGUCUUGUGCUAUUGUUGACUAAAAAAGCCCUUACACAACCUAAACAUUGAGAAUUGUGUUUUAUUUGGGUUAUAACCCAAGAGACAGCCUCCUGGAUAGCUCUGAAGAACCGUUCCAGAGAGAUCAGGGAGAAGUCGAGAUAGAGCGGUGUUUUUACUGAAGCAAACAAACAUGUAGCUGAGCAGGAAAACAUUACUGCUGAUCACAAAAGCCAGGCUCCCAAGUUAAUGAUUUUAGUGCCUUUCUAGGUAAGGGAAGAUGCCAGAGUCUGGGCUCAUGGAAAUGAUUUCUUUGCUAUGCAUCUUAUCUAGGGCUGGUAUCCUGUUUUUCUCCAGCCUGUAUUUCCCUCAGAGGCACCAUCCCCAGCAGUGGCCGCUGGUUUGAGGGUGGGCAACAUUAGCUGUUUACUGGAAUGGCAGACAACAUUCUUUGUUUACCGAAUUGGCAAGCAAUUUUAUUUUCAUCCACAUUGUUAAUAUUUAUAUUAUCCUCCAUUUCCUUACAUGCUCUUUCUUUGAUAGCAGGGUACCUCUUCUGUCUUUUAGACCUGGGUUCAAGUUCUGGGUUGUCCUCAUACCAUUGGUGUUUUCUCCUAAGAUGGGUAUCACAAAACCUGCUUGCCUGAGUCGUUGGGAGGAAGACAGCAGAUCAAAGAGGCAAGAGCUCUUUGGAACUACUGGGAGCCAUAGAAUGGAUGGAAUUGUCAGCAAGUGAGGAGAGAUGGACACCAGACUCCGUGAAGACAGACAUUUAACAGACCCCAUGGUCUGUGUCCUGGAUGAAGCCAGAAUAGACCUGGCAGUCUGUGAAAUAAAUGACAAUGAUGGUGACAAAGCCAGAUGUGAGCCAUUUGGGCCACAUCAGUGGACUCCAGAAGGUCAGGAGGAAGGGCAGGAGCAGCGGGGGGUGGGCUUGCUCCAGGACGUGGUGAGCUUGGAGCUGCUUCUCAGAGAUAAGGAGAGAGGUGGAAGAAGAACUGCAGCUGGAGAGAAACAGCCUCCGCUCUAGUUCAAGCCCAGACGUGAGUUCUUAGAAAAGUCAAGAAUGUAUUUCUCUCCAGGGUAUUCACUGCAGGAGAGGUGGGUCAAACGGGUUUGCCCUUGUCACCAGCUGUAGAAACAGAAGAGGACGUCCCCCUCUCCUGCCUGCUCAGGGAGCAGAAAGGCCUGGGUGACCUUGACUCUUGAGUACAUUGCCCUUUGGCAGCUCCCAGGACCUGAGUGCCCCACAGCUCGGGCCGUCUUGAAGCCAAGAAUUAAGGAGUGGACCCUCCAGGGCUCACCUCCUCCCAGCCCUGCCUUAUAACACCCCAGUGACCCUGGCAUGUGCAGCCACAGCAGGAGCCAGGAGCCAGCGUUCCUUGGGGUUCAGGACCUCCGGGCAGCACAGAUGGGGCCAAGAGCCAUCACCUUCCCUUCUGAGUGACCACGUGUGUGCUGUACAGCCGAGGACGGACCUGAGCCGGGCAUCAGGGCUUUCUAGGGGCUUCCAGCUGCUCUCCAGCUGCAAGCCAACAUCAGGAGGAUGGACUGGGGACCUGGAGUCCAAGGCUGGCCCUCUGCUGGGCAGCACCCCCGCAACACGCCUGGAGCCAGGAGAGGGGGAGAAGGAUCCCUUCUCAGGGAGGCUGGUGAUGAGGGCCUUUGCCUCGUUGCUGGUUCUCAAGCAUCAGGGAGACAAAGCUCAGCUGAUGUCCCAGCCUGUCAACUCCACCAGCCCAGCAGUGACCACCCAGACGGCUGCCCAAGGUCGAAGAGUCAGGGGAUGAAGGAAGCUGCUGGGAUUGACGGGGCAGUCGAGGCAUAGUGACUGAGGGCUCUGUCCCUGUGGAUGGGACAGUGCUGAGGGGAGGCCUGGGAGUGGGGACUACCCCUCCAUAGCUCCAAAGAGCUCUUCGAUGUCUGGCUCUCCUUGAAAACAGAAGAGCAGGCCCUUCCUCCAGCCUGGAACCAUCAGACAAAGGGAAAGGGCUUGGGGGGUGGGGUGGGGACGUCUUUGCCCUGUAGUCCGUCUGGGACAGAAGAGUAGUGCUCCUGCCCCGUUGGCCCCAUAUCCCAGAAAAGACCUGAAGAACAAGAAGUGGGGCUGGAUGCCAGCAGGGGACAGCCACGUCGCCUGGCUGGCUGCUGGGGAGGAAGGGAAGUUUGAGGAUGCCGGAUGGGUGAGAGGCUGGCAGAGACCACGCCGAGGGUCAGGGACAGAAAGGUGCUCCGAGAGGCUGCUUUAAAGAUCACCCUGCGGGGGAAGGGAUUAUCCCGAGUGUCCUUGGCUCCUGGCAGGCCAGCUCCGGGGGAGGGUAAAGAAGUUGGCACUUAUCUGGCUCCUCUUGGCCAGGCCUGCUCCCUAUAUCAUCUCUAUUCCUGCAACAAUAGAGACACUUGCAAGGCUUGGUCAGGGAGCGGGGGCUCGGCUGCCUCCUGCGUCUCCAGAGCGGGCUCCUGGCUCCAGCGGGGAGAUGGCCCCACACCUGCCUUCCCACCAGAAGGGCCGUCUUCUGGCCCAUCCCCCGGGGCACCCACUGGCAGCCCUCAGAGGCCUCAUUAAGCUGCUGGAGUCUCUGGCUGGGGCCCUGAGGUGCAGCAGGCGGGCCUGACUUCACAGCUGAGGUAAGUCCUUGGGGGCUAAGAGAAGGGUCUCGGCUGUGGAAGGGCAGGUGGCACAUGGGGUCCCUCUCCCAGCCCCAGCUGCUCCCCACCUCUGCCCUGCUAUCCGGUGACACCGGGGGCUGCAGCUGGUGCCUCGGGCCCAGGGCCAUGGUCUGAGAGCAUUCCCGCCCCACCCAGGGCAGCUUCCAAGGGGCUGCUGCUGUUCUGAACAGUCUCAGGGGACUCCCGGCUCCAGAACGGGCCCCUCGAGGCAGGACACAGCAGGGCCAAGGCCGACAGGGCUCGAGGAAGAAGUGGAGCUGAGGAAGGGGUGGGGGGACCCCCACAUGCCCCUGAGUGUCUCCCUCCACUGGUACCAGCCUGGGGGCAGGUGGCAAGCUGGGGCUCUGAUUCCGCUGGCUCUGGCUAGUGCCCU
Sus scrofa (pig) is the source of this 4347-nucleotide non-coding RNA. The record is from RefSeq and is a predicted model, not a curated record. Lineage: Eukaryota; Metazoa; Chordata; Mammalia; Artiodactyla; Suidae.